Molecule: non-coding RNA, 30 nt
Filed under: Mus musculus (house mouse)
Lineage: Eukaryota; Metazoa; Chordata; Mammalia; Rodentia; Muridae
Source: RNAcentral
UGGUGGAAAUCUAGCUACAUCAAUGUCACA